UCUUCCUCCCCUACCCCCAAGGGUGACCAUCGUUAGCGUCUGUUUUUGCAGAAAUACUCUGGUGCUUUGACCUGGAGUCAUACCUGCAGCUCAACUGUGAGCGGGGGACUUGGAGGUGUCCUGUGUGCAACAAGACAGCUUUGCUGGAGGGCCUGGAGGUGGACCAGUACAUGCUGGGCAUCCUGAUUUACAUUCAGAACUCUGACUAUGAGGAGAUCACCAUCGACCCCACGUGCAGCUGGAAGCCAGUGCCCGUGAAGCCUGACAUGCACAUCAAGGAGGAGCCGGACGGGCCGGCACUGAAGCGCUGCCGCACCGUGAGCCCCGCCCACGUGCUCAUGCCCAGCGUGAUGGAGAUGAUCGCCGCCCUGGGCCCCGGCGC
This 382-nucleotide small RNA is filed under the name Pongo abelii (Sumatran orangutan). Its description in RNAcentral is "processed transcript". Lineage: Eukaryota; Metazoa; Chordata; Mammalia; Primates; Hominidae. The record is from RNAcentral.